GACGAACGCUGGCGGCGUGCCUAAUACAUGCAAGUAGAACGCUGAAGGAGGAGCUUGCUUCUCUGGAUGAGUUGCGAACGGGUGAGUAACGCGUAGGUAACCUGCCUGGUAGCGGGGGAUAACUAUUGGAAACGAUAGCUAAUACCGCAUAAUAGCAGUUGUUGCAUGAUAACUGUUUGAAAGGUGCAAUUGCACCACUACCAGAUGGACCUGCGUUGUAUUAGCUAGUUGGUGGGGUAACGGCUCACCAAGGCGACGAUACAUAGCCGACCUGAGAGGGUGAUCGGCCACACUGGGACUGAGACACGGCCCAGACUCCUACGGGAGGCAGCAGUAGGGAAUCUUCGGCAAUGGAGGGAAGUCUGACCGAGCAACGCCGCGUGAGUGAAGAAGGUUUUCGGAUCGUAAAGCUCUGUUGUAAGAGAAGAACGAGUGUGAGAGUGGAAAGUUCACACUGUGACGGUAUCUUACCAGAAAGGGACGGCUAACUACGUG
RNAcentral lists this ribosomal RNA (495 nucleotides) under uncultured bacterium. RNAcentral describes it as "partial 16S ribosomal RNA". It matches the Rfam family "Bacterial small subunit ribosomal RNA", at positions 28 to 507 of the family's 1533-position model. The record is from RNAcentral.